This 253-nucleotide ribosomal RNA is filed under the name uncultured bacterium. Its description in RNAcentral is "partial 16S ribosomal RNA". It matches the Rfam family "Bacterial small subunit ribosomal RNA", at positions 524 to 776 of the family's 1533-position model. The record is from RNAcentral.
UACGAAGGUGGCUAGCGUUGCUCGGAAUUACUGGGCGUAAAGCGCACGUAGGCGGCUUUCUAAGUCGGGGGUGAAAUCCUGGAGCUCAACUCCAGAACUGCCUUUGAUACUGGAGAGCUAGAGUCCGGAAGAGGUGAGUGGAACUGCGAGUGUAGAGGUGAAAUUCGUAGAUAUUCGCAAGAACACCAGUGGCGAAGGCGGCUCACUGGUCCGGUACUGACGCUGAGGUGCGAAAGCGUGGGGAGCAAACAGG